GAUUUUCCAUCAUUGAGAGAAUACAAUGAUUACUUGGAGGAAGUGGAGGAUAUGAUAUUUAACUUGAUUGAAGGAAUAGAUGUACAAGCUAUUGA
Long non-coding RNA from Pistacia vera, 95 nucleotides. RefSeq lists it as uncharacterized. The record is from RefSeq and is a predicted model, not a curated record. The transcript has 2 exons. NCBI's taxonomy places the organism in Eukaryota, Viridiplantae, Streptophyta, Magnoliopsida, Sapindales, Anacardiaceae.